CCUACGGGUGGCAGCAGUGAGGAAUAUUGGUCAAUGGCCGGAAGGCUGAACCAGCCAUGCCGCGUGAAGGUCAGUGCCCUAUGGGCGUUAAACUUCUUUUGUGCGGGAGCAAUAAUGGUCACGUGUGGCCAGACGAGAGUACCGUACGAAUAAGCAUCGGCUAACUCCGUGCCAGCAGCCGCGGUAAUACGGGGGAUGCAAGCGUUAUCCGGAAUGAUUGGGCGUAAAGGGUGCGCAGGCGGUCCUGCAAGUCUGGAGUGAAACGCAUGAGCUCAACUCAUGCAUGGCUUUGGAAACUGGAGGACUGGAGAGCAGGAGAGGGCGGUGGAACUCCAUGUGUAGCGGUAAAAUGCGUAGAUAUAUGGAAGAACACCAGUGGCGAAGGCGGCCGCCUGGCCUGUUGCUGACGCUGAGGCACGAAAGCGUGGGGAGCAAAUAGGAUUAGAUACCCCAGUAGUC
Molecule: ribosomal RNA, 459 nt
Filed under: uncultured bacterium
Lineage: Bacteria
Description: partial 16S ribosomal RNA
Rfam family: Bacterial small subunit ribosomal RNA
Source: RNAcentral